RNAcentral lists this ribosomal RNA (1133 nucleotides) under Klebsiella pneumoniae. RNAcentral describes it as "bacterial SSU rRNA". It matches the Rfam family "Bacterial small subunit ribosomal RNA", at positions 1 to 1125 of the family's 1533-position model. The record is from RNAcentral. Lineage: Bacteria; Pseudomonadati; Pseudomonadota; Gammaproteobacteria; Enterobacterales; Enterobacteriaceae.
AAAUUGAAGAGUUUGAUCAUGGCUCAGAUUGAACGCUGGCGGCAGGCCUAACACAUGCAAGUCGAGCGGUAGCACAGAGAGCUUGCUCUCGGGUGACGAGCGGCGGACGGGUGAGUAAUGUCUGGGAAACUGCCUGAUGGAGGGGGAUAACUACUGGAAACGGUAGCUAAUACCGCAUAAUGUCGCAAGACCAAAGUGGGGGACCUUCGGGCCUCAUGCCAUCAGAUGUGCCCAGAUGGGAUUAGCUAGUAGGUGGGGUAAUGGCUCACCUAGGCGACGAUCCCUAGCUGGUCUGAGAGGAUGACCAGCCACACUGGAACUGAGACACGGUCCAGACUCCUACGGGAGGCAGCAGUGGGGAAUAUUGCACAAUGGGCGCAAGCCUGAUGCAGCCAUGCCGCGUGUGUGAAGAAGGCCUUCGGGUUGUAAAGCACUUUCAGCGGGGAGGAAGGCGGUGAGGUUAAUAACCUCAUCGAUUGACGUUACCCGCAGAAGAAGCACCGGCUAACUCCGUGCCAGCAGCCGCGGUAAUACGGAGGGUGCAAGCGUUAAUCGGAAUUACUGGGCGUAAAGCGCACGCAGGCGGUCUGUCAAGUCGGAUGUGAAAUCCCCGGGCUCAACCUGGGAACUGCAUUCGAAACUGGCAGGCUAGAGUCUUGUAGAGGGGGGUAGAAUUCCAGGUGUAGCGGUGAAAUGCGUAGAGAUCUGGAGGAAUACCGGUGGCGAAGGCGGCCCCCUGGACAAAGACUGACGCUCAGGUGCGAAAGCGUGGGGAGCAAACAGGAUUAGAUACCCUGGUAGUCCACGCCGUAAACGAUGUCGAUUUGGAGGUUGUGCCCUUGAGGCGUGGCUUCCGGAGCUAACGCGUUAAAUCGACCGCCUGGGGAGUACGGCCGCAAGGUUAAAACUCAAAUGAAUUGACGGGGGCCCGCACAAGCGGUGGAGCAUGUGGUUUAAUUCGAUGCAACGCGAAGAACCUUACCUGGUCUUGACAUCCACAGAACUUUCCAGAGAUGGAUUGGUGCCUUCGGGAACUGUGAGACAGGUGCUGCAUGGCUGUCGUCAGCUCGUGUUGUGAAAUGUUGGGUUAAGUCCCGCAACGAGCGCAACCCUUAUCCUUUGUUGCCAGCGGU